RNAcentral lists this ribosomal RNA (484 nucleotides) under uncultured bacterium. RNAcentral describes it as "partial 16S ribosomal RNA". It matches the Rfam family "Bacterial small subunit ribosomal RNA", at positions 30 to 507 of the family's 1533-position model. The record is from RNAcentral.
AUUGAACGCUGGCGGCAGGCCUAACACGUGCAAGUCGAGCGGAUGAAGGGAGCUUGCUCCUGGAUUCAGCGGCGGACGGGUGAGUAAUGCCUAGGAAUCUGCCUGGUAGUGGGGGAUAACGUCCGGAAACGGGCGCUAAUACCGCAUACGUCCUGAGGGAGAAAGUGGGGGAUCUUCGGACCUCACGCUAUCAGAUGAGCCUAGGUCGGAUUAGCUAGUUGGUGGGGUAAAGGCCUACCAAGGCGACGAUCCGUAACUGGUCUGAGAGGAUGAUCAGUCACACUGGAACUGAGACACGGUCCAGACUCCUACGGGAGGCAGCAGUGGGGAAUAUUGGACAAUGGGCGAAAGCCUGAUCCAGCCAUGCCGCGUGUGUGAAGAAGGUCUUCGGAUUGUAAAGCACUUUAAGUUGGGAGGAGGGGCAGUAAGUUAAUACCUUGCUGUUUUGACGUUACCAACAGAAUAAGCACCGGCUAACUUCGUG